GGCUCUGGCUCCGUGUCUUCACUCCCGUGUUUGUCCGAGGAGGGAGGGAGGGACGGGGGCGGUGCU
Molecule: microRNA precursor, 66 nt
Organism: Cricetulus griseus (Chinese hamster)
Lineage: Eukaryota; Metazoa; Chordata; Mammalia; Rodentia; Cricetidae
Gene: Mir149
Product: microRNA 149
Source: Ensembl